UACGUAGGGUGCGAGCGUUAUUCGGAAUUACUGGGCGUAAAGCGUGCGCAGGCGGUUUUGUAAGUCCGCUGUGAAAUCCCCGGGCUUAACCUGGGAAUGGCAUUUGGGACUGCAAGGCUUGAGUGCGGCAGAGGAGACUGGAAUUCCUGGUGUAGCAGUGAAAUGCGUAGAUAUCAGGAGGAAUACCGAUGGCGAAGGCAGGUCUCUGGGCUGACACUGACGCUCAUGCACGAAAGCGUGGGGAGCAAACGGG
Molecule: ribosomal RNA, 253 nt
Filed under: uncultured bacterium
Lineage: Bacteria
Description: partial 16S ribosomal RNA
Rfam family: Bacterial small subunit ribosomal RNA
Source: RNAcentral